CAAAGUUGGAUCAUAUCCUAUAAGCAUUAGAAGGAAACCUUAAGGCACGUUGAAGCAGGGGACGCAAACACGUUCAAUGUAGGGGAGACUUUGACACUGCAGAUUCAACUUUAUCGAGUGUAAUCGCCACAAAUUGGAGACACGUAGUUGCAUGGUUAAACUGGUUGAGAAGAGAGGCAUUCCAUAUUUGAACUUAUUCUCUCCAACUUGAGCAGAGAAACGAAGCACCGAAUCCCCAAAUCGCACUGCAAUUCUGAAAUGAGAAAUGGAGAAAAUGAAAAUCAAUUUGAAAAAAUAAACAGGGCAAAACGAAAACGAACACCGAAUAGGAAAAAAGCAGAGUGAAGAGGAGAAUCAAUUCAGACAUGAACAUCAGAAAUGUUGAAUAUCCACCAUGAGAAGAAUUGUGUGCCUUCGAAAACUGAUUUUCUAGGGCACGAGCAGAGCGUAGUGUGUAAAAAACGCGAGAGGGGAGCCAACGGAGACAUCUUCGGAAAGAGGUUCUAAAAGUGUGGUUUGCGAGGAGGAUGAGGAUUGAGAAGACAUUGGAG
RNAcentral lists this long non-coding RNA (551 nucleotides) under Phaseolus vulgaris (common bean). RNAcentral's name for it is "long non-coding RNA (PVUL_LNC003676)". The record is from RNAcentral. Lineage: Eukaryota; Viridiplantae; Streptophyta; Magnoliopsida; Fabales; Fabaceae.